Molecule: long non-coding RNA, 2094 nt
Filed under: Nicotiana benthamiana
Lineage: Eukaryota; Viridiplantae; Streptophyta; Magnoliopsida; Solanales; Solanaceae
Description: long non-coding RNA (NBEN_LNC022214)
Source: RNAcentral
AUGGGUUCACAGUUUUUGGUAAAUGAUCUCGUAGUUAGUGAGUUUCUUUCUAAAAAGGCGGAUCCUUUAAUACUUGUGAUUUCAGGGACUUUUCGAGAUGAUAUUGGAAAUUUUGAGAUUUUAGAUUUAGUGAAACUUGGUUUUUAUUUUCUUGUUAAGCUAUUUUGUACCACGUCUGCUGAUUGUAUGUAUGUAACAAUGUGACAAUGACUGCUAAUUCAUUGGAUAUCAACCUCUGCGUGCUUUUUGGAUCAUCAGAUCCAGAUGAAAAUUACCAGUCUUUUAUUUUUAGGUAUGUCCCUUUUUUCUCUAUUCUUGUUUCCUUUGUGCUGCUAAUCUGCUAUUGUGGUUUGCUAGAAAUGCUUUAUCAAUGUUUGAAAAUGCUAAGGAUUCAGACACAAAGAUGCCUUGAAUCGCAUAAUCGCGGCAUGUGCUACCAUGUAACAGUAAGUUUCCAUUUACUAAUACAUAGAUGAGGUAACUAUUGGUAUAAAUAACUAAGGACCAACACAUGAGGUACAGAAUAAUAAAACAUCCAAAGGGUCAUACAGUAGAGAGCUUUUAUGCAGAAAUGGUGUCUCUUAGAUGGAAGAAAUAAGGCCUUUGUCUUUGAAGAAUGCGAUACAAUCAUCAAACAUCUCUUCAAUGGACUUGAAUUUCAUUCCUAACUUCUCCAGCUUCAAGGUGUUGAACUCGUAGUGAGGUCGAUCAAGUUUCUUAAACCUGAAAUAGCAGUAAUCUUCAUCAAAAUAGUACUCCUACUAUUUUUUUUUUCUUCUAUAAGGUACUCGUAUAACAUUUCUUUCACUUAAGAAUAUCUGUUUUAAGUAGAAAUAAUGGAUGUGGUAUGUAGAACUCUAGGUCUUCUAGGAUAGAGGCGAAUCCUUGAUUUAAAAAGGCAGAUGCACCUCUUCAUAUACUGACAUACAUGCAUACCAUGCAAUUUUACUCUUUUCACAUUUUAUGUAUAAAUAUAUGUAGUGGCAUGUAAGCUGGAUUUUGUGCAAGCCAUCUUGUAUGUGAAUCAAUGUUUCUUGCUAAUCUUUGCUACUGUAUAUGUGUAGUUUUUGUUUAUAUUGUUGCUAUUUAAUAGGAAGAUCGGGGAAGGAAUGGAGAAAGGAGAUAGCGAGUAUUGAACUCAAACAUAUACUGUGGAAAACUCUCACUAGUGCUACUAAGUUAUGUUGCUCGGUUCCUUUAAAAAUGUCAUCGGUUGUGUGUCAGAUCCUCCAAAAAUCACUCAUUGUUGGGGGAGCAACAUAGCUACUAAGUUAUAAGCCAUUGUGUAUAUAUAUAAGUGCACAUACAUCGAUUAUACUGACCUUUUAGGAAUAGGCAAAGAUGGAUAGCGCUCCGAUAGGAUCGAGACAAGUUGAUUGUUGUCAAGAACCUUUGAGCUGCAAAGAUACCUCCCAUGAGCAUUUGGAUGCUCAUAGACAAGUAUAUGGGAGAGAGCCACAUCAUCUAUGUGAACAUACCCCAUUCUUCCAUGCCAGUCAAACUUAUCUGUUUUUCCUUUAAGCAAACCAAGGACAUCAUCUGCUGUUGAACAUAAAUCUGGUGGCAAACUUGGUCCAAUGAUGAAAGAGGGGAGUAGUGUCACAAGAUGAAUGUUGUUUUGUUCACAGUAUUCCCAAGCAGCCUUCUCGGCUAGUGUCUUUGAUAGGACAUACCAAAUCUUGCAUCCACCGAGUAAAGUGAUGAGAUUAUGGUUUUACUCUCUAUCCGAAUUUAUAUGUCACUCUUCUUAAUGAGACGAGCCAAAAUUGUUUGACCCCAUUCUAUUACUAUACAAGUAUACAACUUUCAAGAAUUCAAAUUCAAGAAACUAUUUAAUAUUAGAAUAAUAUUUUAAACUAUAUGCUUAGUCAAAGUUCAAGCCUCUCUACCCCUUCGGGGUAGAGGUAAGGUCUGUAACUCCACUUGUGGGGUUCUACUGGGUUGUUGUUAUUGUUGUUGUUUGUGCUUAGUCAAUAUCGUCAUAUGAAAUGGAAUGGGCCGAGUACAAUAACAUGGAAAUAUUAACACAUGAUAGAUGAUUUACCUCAAAUUUUUUACAGAGUUCAACGGAGCUCCAAGAUGAUUCAUCCAAGG